CUGCCAGUAGCUCAGUUGGAUAGAGCACCCGCCUUCUAAGCGGGCGGUCGGGGGUUCGACUCCCUCCUGGCAGGCCA
RNAcentral lists this transfer RNA (77 nucleotides) under Aquabacterium sp. RNAcentral's name for it is "tRNA-Arg". It matches the Rfam family "tRNA". Rfam says of the family: Transfer RNA (tRNA) molecules are approximately 80 nucleotides in length. Their secondary structure includes four short double-helical elements and three loops (D, anti-codon, and T loops). The record is from RNAcentral. RNAcentral also lists the same sequence under 4 other names. Lineage: Bacteria; Pseudomonadati; Pseudomonadota; Betaproteobacteria; Burkholderiales; Sphaerotilaceae.